CAGAGUUUGAUCAUGGCUCAGAUUGAACGCCGGCGGCAGGCCUAACACAUGCAGGUCGAGCGGUAGCACAGAGAGCUUGCUCUCGGGUGACGAGCGGCGGACGGGUGAGUAAUGUCUGGGAAACUGCCUGAUGGAGGGGGAUAACUACUGGAAACGGUAGCUAAUACCGCAUAACGUCGCAAGACCAAAGUGGGGGACCUUCGGGCCUCAUGCCAUCAGAUGUGCCCAGAUGGGAUUAGCUAGUAGGUGGGGUAACGGCUCACCUAGGCGACGAUCCCUAGCUGGUCUGAGAGGAUGACCAGCCACACUGGAACUGAGACACGGUCCAGACUCCUACGGGAGGCAGCAGUGGGGAAUAUUGCACAAUGGGCGCAAGCCUGAUGCAGCCAUGCCGCGUGUGUGAAGAAGGCCUUCGGGUUGUAAAGCACUUUCAGCGGGGAGGAAGGCGUCAAGGUUAAUAACCUUGGCGAUUGACGUUACCCGCAGAAGAAGCACCGGCUAACUCCGUGCCAGCAGCCGCGGUAAUACGGAGGGUGCAAGCGUUA
This 545-nucleotide ribosomal RNA is filed under the name Klebsiella sp. SRC_DSD5. RNAcentral describes it as "bacterial SSU rRNA". It matches the Rfam family "Bacterial small subunit ribosomal RNA", at positions 8 to 543 of the family's 1533-position model. The record is from RNAcentral. Lineage: Bacteria; Pseudomonadati; Pseudomonadota; Gammaproteobacteria; Enterobacterales; Enterobacteriaceae.